AACGAACGCUGGCGGCGCGCCUAAUACAUGCAAGUCGAGCGAGAAGACGUAGCAAUACGUUUGUAAAGCGGCGAACGGGUGAGGAAUACAUGGGUAACCUACCCUCGAGUGGGGAAUAACUAGCCGAAAGGUUAGCUAAUACCGCGUACGCUCCUUGGACUUCGGUUCAGGGAGGAAAGCGAUACCGUGGGUAUCGCGCUCUUGGAUGGGCUCAUGUCCUAUCAGCUUGNGGUGAGGUAACGGCUCACCAAGGCUUCGACGGGUAGCUGGUCUGAGAGGACGAUCAGCCACACUGGCACUGCGACACGGGCCAGACUCCUACGGGAGGCAGCAGUAAGGAUAUUGCGCAAUGGGCGAAAGCCUGACGCAGCGACGCCGCGUGGGGGAUGAAGGUCUUCGGAUUGUAAACCCCUUUCGGG
RNAcentral lists this ribosomal RNA (419 nucleotides) under uncultured bacterium. RNAcentral describes it as "bacterial SSU rRNA". It matches the Rfam family "Bacterial small subunit ribosomal RNA", at positions 29 to 440 of the family's 1533-position model. The record is from RNAcentral.